AGCAGCCGCGGUAAUUCCAGCUCCAAUAGCGUAUAUUAAAGUUGUUGCAGUUAAAAAGCUCGUAGUUGAAUUUCGGGAUUGACACAUCGGUCGUGCCUUAAGGGGUAUGAACUGGUGUAGUCAAUUUCUCACCUUCUGGAGAACCGCGAUGCCCUUAAUUGGGUGUCACGGGGAACCAGGACCUUUACUUUGAAAAAAUUAGAGUGUUUAAAGCAGGCAUUUUGCUUGAAUACAUUAGCAUGGAAUAAUAAAAUAGGACGGCAUGAUUCUAUUUUGUUGGUUUCUAGGAUCACCGUAAUGAUUAAUAGGGAUAGUUGGGGGCAUUAGUAUUCAAUUGUCAGAGGUGAAAUUCUUGGAUUUAUUGAAGACUAACUACUGCGAAAGCAUUUGUCAAGGAUGUUUUCAUUAAUCAAGAACGAAAGUUAGGGGAUCGAAGACGAUCAGAUACCG
RNAcentral lists this ribosomal RNA (450 nucleotides) under uncultured Glomeromycotina. RNAcentral's name for it is "SSU rRNA". It matches the Rfam family "Eukaryotic small subunit ribosomal RNA", at positions 569 to 1017 of the family's 1831-position model. Lineage: Eukaryota; Fungi; Glomeromycota. The record is from RNAcentral.